RNAcentral lists this transfer RNA (58 nucleotides) under Neotoma lepida (desert woodrat). It matches the Rfam family "tRNA", at positions 8 to 63 of the family's 71-position model. Rfam says of the family: Transfer RNA (tRNA) molecules are approximately 80 nucleotides in length. Their secondary structure includes four short double-helical elements and three loops (D, anti-codon, and T loops). Lineage: Eukaryota; Metazoa; Chordata; Mammalia; Rodentia; Cricetidae. The record is from Rfam by way of RNAcentral.
UGGCUCAGUGGUUAAGAGCAUUUGUUCUUCUUGCAAAGGAUCUGGGUUCUAUUCCCAG